RNAcentral lists this ribosomal RNA (253 nucleotides) under uncultured bacterium. RNAcentral's name for it is "partial 16S ribosomal RNA". It matches the Rfam family "Bacterial small subunit ribosomal RNA", at positions 524 to 776 of the family's 1533-position model. The record is from RNAcentral.
UACGGAGGGUGCAAACGUUGCUCGGAAUCAUUGGGCGUAAAGCGCACGUAGGCGGCCUGUUAAGUCGGGUGUGAAAGCCCUGGGCUCAACCCAGGAAGUGCACUCGAAACUGGCGGGCUUGAAUAUGGAAGAGGGUCGCGGAAUUCCCGGUGUAGAGGUGAAAUUCGUAGAUAUCAGGAGGAACACCGGUGGCGAAGGCGGGUCUCUGGGCAGUAACUGACGCUGAGGAGCGAAAGCGUGGGGAGCGAACAGG